CAAGGAAUUUUGCGCAAUGGGCGAAAGCCUGACGCAGCAACGCCGCGUGGGGGAUGAAGGCCCUCGGGUUGUAAACCCCUUUUGCGAGGGAAGAAGAUCUGACGGUACCUCGCGAAUAAGCCACGGCUAACUACGUGCCAGCAGCCGCGGUAAUACGUAGGUGGCAAGCGUUGUCCGGAUUUACUGGGCGUAAAGCGCGCGCAGGCGGAUUGGUCAGUCUGGGGGGUGAAAUCUCACGGCUCAACUGUGAGCGGUCCCUGGAUACUGCCAGUCUUGAGAGAUCUAGAGGAGAGCGGAAUUCCCGGUGUAGUGGUGGAAUGCGUAGAUAUCGGGAAGAACACCAGUGGCGAAAGCGGCUCUCUGGGGAUUUUCUGACGCUGAGGCGCGAAAGCGUGGGGAGCGAACCGGAUUAGAUACCCGGGUAGUCCACGCCGUAAACGAUGAGUACUAGCUGUCGGGGGUAUCGACCCCCCGGUAGCGUAGCUAACGCGAUAAGUGCUCCGCCUGGGGACUACGGCCGC
This 521-nucleotide ribosomal RNA is filed under the name uncultured bacterium. RNAcentral's name for it is "bacterial SSU rRNA". It matches the Rfam family "Bacterial small subunit ribosomal RNA", at positions 355 to 889 of the family's 1533-position model. The record is from RNAcentral.